GGGCAUUUGGUCUAGUGGUAUGAUUCUUGCUUCGGGAGCAAGAGGUCCCGAGUUCGAUUCUCGGAAUGCCCC
This is a non-coding RNA of Spinacia oleracea (spinach), 72 nucleotides long. NCBI's taxonomy places the organism in Eukaryota, Viridiplantae, Streptophyta, Magnoliopsida, Caryophyllales, Amaranthaceae. The record is from Rfam.